Molecule: ribosomal RNA, 496 nt
Filed under: uncultured bacterium
Lineage: Bacteria
Description: partial 16S ribosomal RNA
Rfam family: Bacterial small subunit ribosomal RNA
Source: RNAcentral
AUGAACGCUGGCGGCGUGCCUAAUACCUGCAAGUCGAGCGAACGGACGAGAAGCUUGCUUCUCUGAUGUUAGCGGCGGACGGGUGAGUAACACGUGGAUAACCUACCUAUAAGACUGGGAUAACUUCGGGAAACCGUAGCUAAUACCGGAUAAUAUUUUGAACCGCAUGGUUCAAAAGUGAAAGACGGUCUUGCUGUCACUUAUAGAUGGAUCCGCGCUGCAUUAGCUAGUUGGUAAGGUAACGGCUUACCAAGGCAACGAUGCAUAGCCGACCUGAGAGGGUGAUCGGCCACACUGGAACUGAGACACGGUCCAGACUCCUACGGGAGGCAGCAGUAGGGAAUCUUCCGCAAAGGGCGAAAGCCUGACGGAGCAACGCCGCGUGAGUCAUGAAGGUCUUCGGAUCGUAAAACUCUGUUAUUAGGGAAGAACAUAUGUGUAAGUAACUGUGCACAUCUUGACGGUACCUAAUCAGAAAGCCACGGCUAACUACGUG